Molecule: long non-coding RNA, 1172 nt
Organism: Neoarius graeffei (lesser salmon catfish)
Lineage: Eukaryota; Metazoa; Chordata; Actinopteri; Siluriformes; Ariidae
Exons: 5
Source: RefSeq, a predicted model, not a curated record
AAGAGACACUAUGAAAGGAAGCAGGCGAGCGUUUCUCCUUCUUUCCAUUCACUGCGCCUUCCUCGAGCAUGUCCUGCUUGGUUUUUCUUUCUCUCUUCAUCCCUACAGCUUCAUGCCCACAUGGCAUACACAACUGGAGUUACACAUGAUCCCGCCUUCUGUGUUCUGAUUGGUUCCCACACAUGAAUCAGUCCUCUGAUUGGAUGGUCCAGAAAACCUAAUGGAGAAAGAGGAUUAAUGGAUUCCACUGGACUUCUUUAGGAUGUGAAGUCGCAGGAAUAGGAGACGCUCCUUUUCAGCUGUCCAGAAGAUUUGACUCUUCCUGUUUUGGCUGAAGCCUUUUAAUCCAAGAUGCCUAAGAAGUCCAAGACCUUGUCAUCCCUGGUGGCAGGGAACGAAAUGCAUCCUUGCACAGUCAAGUCAAGUUUUUGUAUAGUGCUUUUAACAAUAAAAGCAAAUGUCACAAUGCAGCUUUACAGAAUUUGAGUGACUUAAAACAUGAGCUGAUUUUAUCCCCAAUGAGCAUGACUGUGGCAAGGGAGAAACUCCCUCAGACGACAUGGUGUCCCUUUUCCACCAAAGCAGUUCCAGGGCUGGUUCGGGGCCAGUGCUUAGUUUGGAACCGGGUUUUCUGUUUCCACUGACAAAACUGGCUCUGGGGCCAGAAAAACCGGUUCCAGGCUAGCACCAACUCUUUGUUGGGCCAGAGGAAAGAACAGCUUACGUCAGCGGGGGGUGGAGUUGUUAAGGCCAACAACAAUAGCAAGACUGCGAAAGGUCGCUAUUUUUAAGCGACAAGAAGCAGCAGCUGUACAAAUGUGAAGUCAUCCAUUAUUGUUGCUGCUGCUUCUGUGGUGUUGCUUCGAUGUUCGUGCCAAAGUUUAUGCAAACGCAGCGACGUAAUGACGUGCCUCCCCUUAGCACCCCGAGCUAUGGAAAAGCAAACUGGUUCUCAGCUGGCUCGCAAGUUGAAUGAGUUGUGAACCAGCCCUGCAACUGAUUUGGUGGAAAAGGGGUAAGAGAAACCUUGAGAGGAACCAGACUCAAAGGGAACCCAUCCUCAUUUGGGCAAUAGAUGACAUGACUGACAGUUUUAACAUGAAGUCAGUUGUGUUUGUACUGUAUACUGUACUGGGGUUCAACAUGGUUAUCUUUUCCGGCUGCAUGUUGAU